GAAGGCUUGCUAGCGCCAGGACUCGCCGGCAGGGCGCCGGCGAGUUGACGAGGACCGGGCGUAUCGAACCUUCGGCGGAUCGCCCGGCGGUCGGCCACGACCGAGAGCGGCCCGGCAAAUCCCGGGAGCGAUCCCGGGGACAAUACGGGCCAGGUGGCGUGA
RNAcentral lists this non-coding RNA (162 nucleotides) under Thermaerobacter marianensis. Its description in RNAcentral is "GlcN6P sequence". It matches the Rfam family "glmS glucosamine-6-phosphate activated ribozyme aptamer". Rfam says of the family: This entry contains a glucosamine-6-phosphate activated ribozyme that is found in the mRNA for GlmS. GlmS is an enzyme that uses fructose-6-phosphate and glutamine to generate glucosamine-6-phosphate. The record is from RNAcentral. Lineage: Bacteria; Bacillati; Bacillota; Clostridia; Eubacteriales; Clostridiales Family XVII. Incertae Sedis. RNAcentral also lists the same sequence under 1 other name.